Molecule: long non-coding RNA, 3853 nt
Organism: Talpa occidentalis (Iberian mole)
Lineage: Eukaryota; Metazoa; Chordata; Mammalia; Eulipotyphla; Talpidae
Exons: 3
Source: RefSeq, a predicted model, not a curated record
CCCCGGCAGCCAGCGUUCCUCCCAGGUGGGCUGGAGAAGACCCCGUGGGCUGACCUUAAGUCCACAUGUCCUGGGAGGGCACGUGCCGGCCGGUCCCACAGCGCCACACGCCUGAGCCCAAGCGCGACAGGACCGAGAAUCCCAGGCCUCUAAUGGAAGAACCUCAGGACUGAACCUCCCAGACCAGCUCUCUCCAACCUGUGACCCCUCGGACUCUACAAGGGCUCAGGGUGCCCAGGUGGACCCGAUGUUAGGCACAGUGAAAAAAGGUAUGUAAAAAACCUUUGUAACCAUGUUUGGAGAUGGACGUUAGCCAGACUCCCUGCGGCGCUGGCUGGCAGCACACACACAAGGGAAUCCUUGGCCACCUGACACUCUAGUGUGUGUGUCAGUCCUACCUCAGUAAUGAUGAUCCGUCAUAAUUAAGAAAUUAGAAAUGCCCUGCAAUGCUCAGAUGGAUGCUAGAGGGUGGGAGGAGGCAGCCCUGAGGGUAGGGCUGGCACUAGUCCUCAAAAGGCGACACGUAGAGUCUCCACACCAGUGGGGCGUUCCACUCAGCUGCCCGCUCCUAGGCGUGUGCCCACGGGAGCGUGAAACCCUGUGAAAGCAGAGACUCAGAUCCUUGCCGUGUGCGUAGCGCUCGAGUCGUAGCAGCCCAAAAAGGUGGAGACAGACCAAAUGCUCAUCAACAGGUGCAUGGAUUCACAAAAUAAGAAACAUCCAUGAACACAUAAAAAUAUGAAAAAGGUACAUACGAUGGAAUAUUAGUCAGCCUUAAAAAGGAAGGAAACGCUGACCUAUGCUGCCACAUGGGUGACACCUUGAGGACAGGAUGCUAAGUGAAAUAUACAAGGACAAAUAUUGUCUGAUUGCACUGCUGGAGGCGCCCGGAGCCGAGAGGUCAUAGACAGAAAGCCGAGCAGAGGUCCCUGGGGGCCGGGGGAGCGAGGGAUGGAGACGUGUAACGGGACAGUUUCAGUCAGGGAGGAUGAAAUCAUUCUGGAGAUGGAUGGGGUGAUGGUUGCACAACAUUGGAAAUGUAUUUCAGUGCCAUUGAACUGUUCGAAAUGGUUCAGACGGUCACCUCCACGCCAUGCAUAUCUCGCCAUGAUGAAAAUGGCUCGUUUCAUUGAGAGAGAUGAUUUUGAUUUUGUUUGUAAUCCAUCUUUUUUUUUUCUCUCAGAUGUUCACUGUGGAUGCUUCUGGCACACAGUAGGCCCUCAAUCAUCCCUUGUCACGAUGUGAAGGAGCCUGGCCCCUGCUCCCCACGCCCCCCCAUGACAGGCUCGAUUGCCUACAUCGAGUUUCCCACAGGAAGGCGCUGGGGUCUUUGAUUCCUUCCUCAGCUGCAGGGGGUUGCGCUGGAGACGGUGGUUCUGGGCUCUGAGGACUGGACAGGCAUCCUGAGCUGAGGAAGAAGCGGCUUCUCAUGGAAGUCUCAGAAGAUGCCACUCAGGGCGCUCAAGUCCUGGAGAGUCAUGGGGCCAGGCAGCCAGGACCCCACUUUGGUUGCAUUUCACAGGGGAGAGAGUUCUUUUUCGUUCAGCAGCAGCUCUUUGGAUGUUUUUAAUAUGCUCAUUGCUGUGUCAUCGCUCUCUCUCCCUGAGCAAGUGGGAAAUCAUCAAGUGCUGAGACAGAGUCAGACUCCGGGAUUAAGAAAUUUGCCCCCAGUUUGGUCUUACAAAAUGCUGAUAUCUUUUUAUGAAAUGUGCAAAUUGCAAAGCCACAGGGUGGGAUCAUUCAAGGGGCAGAGUGCUUGGCAAGUCACGUUUCCUAGUCAGGUCUGGUGCUCGCUGGCGUCAUCGUCCCUGCAGAGUUUUAAUCUCGUCCCUCGUUUGGAGAAAACAUGAUGUAGCCCUUGGCCUAAGAGAGUCAUGCAGCUGGGAAAGGAGAGUUUUAUUCUGUCGGUUAAAUGAUGUCCUCCCAGUGGCCCAGCUUUGAUGGCACUUGUAAUGUUCUCAGUUUCUUUUAGCACUGAAGGAAGUUGGGGGAGGCAGGUUGUUGCCCCCCCGGGGCUCCCUGUGACUCCCCAGCAAGCACUCCACCCACAUGGCUGUGCCUUCCUUAUAGCCCACGUGAUGGUGCGUCAGUCCUGAUGCCAGCAUCCCUUUCUGGUUUACUCAGAGUAAUCACCAACACAAAAAAGUCCUCCCCUGCACAUCGGUGGUGAGUAAUGAAUGGGACUCAGAUACACUGUGGAGGAUGUGUCCCUUGUCUAUGCACAGGUGAGGCUGCAGGAGUAGAAAAGAUCCUAUUAUCAAUGCUUUAAUAAAUAAAGGUGCGUUUCCGAGAAUAUAGGGCUGUCUGCUACUAAGAAAAGCCAAAAUGACUUAACUGGGAUGGGGUUUACUUCUUUCUUAUAGAGCAAUCUGAGCAUAAUGUGACCAGUGCUGAUAGGUUGAUAGUUUGUUGUGUUUUAAAAUUAAUGAAUUAACUUACUUAUUUUAUUAUUUAUUGCCUUCUUCAACCUGCAGGCAGCUCCUCCAUCUGGUUUAAUAUGGCUGCAGCAGCUCCUACCAUUGCAUCUGCAUUCCAGCCCAUAGGAGGGACAGAAAAACAAAGGAGAGAUAAAGAAAUGGAGGCCUGGAGAGACGAAGCAACUGGUACACAUUUCCAUGGCAGAUAAAAGAUGAGCACAGGCAGAUUUACAAAACGUAAGUGAAUGGAACUCUUCCAACCCUUCCUCUGUCAUCUCAAACCUCCAAACUGCCCCGGGGACAUCAGGCUUUGGAUAUCACACAGACAAGUCCUGAGUCCUGAUUCCUCGACACUCAGCAUCCUCGGGGCUGCAGCACAGAUGUCUGCUGGUGAAAAAUAUCAGUGCCACAAAGUUAAAGUUCACCAGCUGUUGGAAGCACCUUGGAGGUCAUCUCAUUCAACCUCCCACCCAGCAUAAGACAAGGAAGAGCCACGUGAGCAAAAUAACUGGUCCACAUGGAUGUCUGAGCGGUGUUUGCAGGCAGCUUGUGGUCAGUGGCCAAGGAACAGUGCAGGAAAAAAAAACAGCCACCAGAUCACAGGGUGAGGAUGGUGACUGGAGGCUGGGGACUGGCGAGAAAACCCCUGGCUCUCCUGGCUCCUGAGCUGGCCCUCACAUCUGAGCCCACCCUCCUGCCUGUGCCUGCCAUCACAGCCUUCUCAUCCAGGAGGCCUUCCUGGAUUGCGCUGCUCCAGUCCUGCUUGCCAGCCCCUCCUUCCUCUUCCCUCCCACCGAGCCAGGGUCCUUGUCUCUUUUCCUGCCCCGUCCUGGCUAGAGUCUCCUGCGGUUUCCACACACCCAGACCAUCCUGACAGGGCUUUGCCCCUCCAAGAAUCAGUGCUGGGCUCAGUUCUCUUGCUGCAGAGUCCACAGACCCCCCACUGGCACCAAGGACAAGGGCACCACUGCCCCACGCUGCGCCCCUCACCCCUCAGCCAGACACAUCGCGAGAAAACAUCAGACAAACCCACACUGAAGGAGAGUCUAUAAAAUCCCGACUGUGCCCUUCAAAACCACCAAGGUCAGGAGAAGCAGGAAGAGUGAGGGCCUGUCACAGGGGGGAGGAGGCACGGCCACUAAAUGCCGUGGGGACCUCAGAUGGGGUCACGGAGUAGAAAAGGGACCUUUGUGGGAAACCGGGUGACUCUGAACCCAGUCGGGCUAGUUCAUAGCCGUGCAGCAGAGGCCGCUGCAAGACACCAGUGCUAAUUUCUUAAUUUUGACAAAUGUGCUUUGGUGAUGCAGAGGUUAGCAUGGGGGGAGCAGUGCAGGGGACAUAGCAACUCUGGGCUCUUGGCCUCUUCCCCCUGUAAAUCUAAAAUUAUUCCAAAAUAAGAUGUGUAGUAAGAAGAUGAACCUCACCACCGCGUGGCU